RNAcentral lists this unclassified non-coding RNA (295 nucleotides) under Hevea brasiliensis (rubber tree). Lineage: Eukaryota; Viridiplantae; Streptophyta; Magnoliopsida; Malpighiales; Euphorbiaceae. The record is from RNAcentral.
AAAUUCUGGGACAGGAUCUUCAAAAUCAUAAACAAACAUAAUGGUAGAAGUCUCUGUGUAAGUUAAACACGAACAUUACUAACAAUACAACCUUCCAGACUAAGUAAAUUGUCAUGUAUGAUAAGAGAGAAUUGAUAAUUGUGUGCACAUAUGAUCCACUGAGCACCAAUGACAGCUCUCGAUCACAAUGCUCCAGAAUUUUUAAGCUUCUCAGAUGGAGUGGAUGAGCCCAAUUUGAAUUUAUCUCUGUGCUCCUGGCAAUAAGCUUGCUAGGGAGGGAACCCCUUGUUGCCUC